RNAcentral lists this long non-coding RNA (488 nucleotides) under Salmo salar (Atlantic salmon). RNAcentral describes it as "lncRNA (ENSSSAG00000110437.1)". The record is from RNAcentral. Lineage: Eukaryota; Metazoa; Chordata; Actinopteri; Salmoniformes; Salmonidae.
CUUCUCUGUAUACAUCAAUGAUGUCGCUCUUGCUGCUGGUGAUUCUCUGAUCCACCUCUACUCAGACGACACCAUUCUGUAUGCUUCUGGCCCCUCUUUGGACACUGUGUUAACUAACCUCCAGACGAGCUUCAAUGCCAUACAACUCUCCUUCCGUGGCCUCCAACUGCUCUUAAACGCAGGUGCAGUCAGGAUCCAUAUCAGCGUUGCACAGGCUGUGUUUACCUGUAAACCUCUGGCCUGCUGGAAGGUUACACAGGUUAUGUCGGAGAGCCAGAGAGCACGCGGGGACCGCAUGAUGAGCAACGACAGAGAAAGGCACGAUCAGAAGAGAAAGAAAAAAAAUGGCUUUCCAUGAGUGGUACCGGAUCCUGGCGAAUGGGUUCCAGAACGAAACAGUCCGGAACAGAGAGGUGCUGGUUCCUGUUCCGACAGGCUCAAAUGAAGCACCGCGCAUCAUCGUCUGGAAAGCCAUUUGGUUGAGGGAG